UGAUAGAAUGAAUGAGAUCAA
RNAcentral lists this non-coding RNA (21 nucleotides) under Caenorhabditis elegans. Lineage: Eukaryota; Metazoa; Nematoda; Chromadorea; Rhabditida; Rhabditidae. The record is from RNAcentral.